This is a long non-coding RNA of Ostrinia furnacalis (Asian corn borer), 103 nucleotides long. RefSeq lists it as uncharacterized. The transcript has 3 exons. The record is from RefSeq and is a predicted model, not a curated record. Lineage: Eukaryota; Metazoa; Arthropoda; Insecta; Lepidoptera; Crambidae.
AAUGGAAAUGAAAAUGUUUUAUUUUAUAAAUAAAGUUGAUUAACAAGAUAUUUUGGUAACCAUCCUUUUAAGUAUAAGAAUACCUGGUGAUGGUGCAACUCAA